UGCUAACCGUCCGAGCAAAACCAAAUCGCGCGAAGUCCACCAUUUUUUUCCUCUGAUCCAAAUUGAUAUUCGCCUUCAAGUCCGGAUCGAUCUAGGUCUACUACGAAACAAAUCAGUCAUCCAAUUUUCUCUCACUAAGAGGGAAGGCAGGAAGGCAGCCGGGCAGGGGGCGACGGGAAGGCGGCGACGGUCUGGGGAGCGGCAGGAAGGCGGCGACGGACAGGGCAGCAGCGGGAAGGCGGCGACGGACAGGAGAGUGGCAGGAAAGCAGCGACGGUCUGGGGAGCGAUGGGAAGGCGGCGACGGAUAGGGCAGCGCUGGCUUUGCGGGUAGCGAAGGGAGAAGCAUCAAGGCCGUGGUAGGAAAGAUGCAAGUCAUGUUCUAACGGCCUCUGCUCCUCUGGCUGCCCAUCCAACCUGCCCGCCGGUCGCCCUUCUUCUCCCUCACCGUGUACGACAGCGAGAUUGGCCUUCGAGGUAUCCUCCUUCCUGUCUCCUCUCAUCCAGUCACCUUAUGCGUAGCCACCUCAGGACAUGACCGUGGGGUGUAGGGGGAUUUGGUAUAUGAUUAAGAAGAUGGACCAUCAAGUAUGAGAGAUGGAUCCAUUCCCCUAUCUCUGCGAUCAAAUCAUCUGAGAGAGAGGAGCUUCGGGCUUGUUACAAUUUCAGAGAUGUAAUGUGCCACCUGGGCUCUGUUCAGUUGUUUGGGAUUAGUUCCCAAGAGGGAAUUGAUCAACAUGGGGUUUGAGUGAAACCUCUUUCUAUCACUCUAAUCCCUGUUGGGGUUUGUCCCCUAUCCCUCCUAAUCCCUAUCCACAUCAUUGCUGUUUGGUUGGUAACAGAAUUUGUACAGGAAUACAGUUUAAAUGUUGCACUAAGUAAACAUUCAGCAAUGAAUUCAAUUUGUAUAGCGAAUGCUUGAAAUAUUCACGAAAUGUAGUGUAAGCAUUGCACUGAGUAAACAUUCAUCUUCGAAUUCAGUUUUUCAGGGAAUAUUUGAUACAAAUAUUCAUAGAAUAUAGUGUAAGCUGGGGUACAUCCACAGUUAGAUAUUAUGGUUGAAGUUUCAGAAAUACUCAGGAGUUUGGGACUGUAAAUAUUCAAAGAAACAAUAUUUUUAAUGUGAGUACAUCAUGACCAACACAUAAUAGCAUCUCACUGAACUGUGUGAUCUCCCCCAGCUUCGGUCUUUCCUUGUGUACCUGCAAUCACAAACGUCAGUGAUUUUUCUGUAACAUUUAUUACGGGUUACAAGUCACUGGAAAUGUGACACGGAUUUGCAAAAGGAAAAUGGAAGUAAUUUAGUCAAUCAUGAUUAGAAAGGUGGUUAACCUAAGCAAAAGUGUACAAAGUCCUAGUACUCCUCCCUUCUUUUUGUAAAUGUGAUCCCUUAUUGUCAUAUCCACUGCGAAACUAAUAACAUUUAAGUUUUAGUUUUAGUAUAGAGUCCAUGUAUAUAUGGGAGUAAGACAAACAAGUGAGAAUACUCAGAACAAGGACCCCAAUUGGCAACAUAAAUAAGAACGUGUAUGUACAGGACUCUUCUAAGGUAAUAACAGAACAGUGUCCAGGAAUGGAGCACAUCAAUAAUAAGAACAAGGCAACAAUUAUAUUCUUAUAAAGCAAAUGUACAAGAGUGUUUAAAAAAUAUAACAGAUGCCUGCUAAACUAAACGACGACUUUGAGAAUCUAUAUCGAGUAGUACUCUGAAUCCACUGUUGAUUUUUUUUAUCCAAAUCUGAAUAACAUGGGACAAGAUGAGAGAUGAUUACAUCAACCUCUAUAUUUUUAUAUGUUAAGAGUAAUACUUGGACCUAUAUCAAAUCUCUGGAGUACAUACACUUAUAUCAUUUGUUGACAAGACUAUUAUAUCUAUUUCAUAGUAUUUUCUGAAACUCAAGUGGACAAUAGUUCGAAAAUGCACAAAGAUAUCACUCUGAUGCACCUUGAUUAAACUUAUCGUCGAGUUCCAUUUCUUUCCCUUAAGAUGUGAAUGCCUCUCUGUUUCAUGGAAGAUCAAUUCUUUUGUUUUAUUUGGCUUGAGUGUUUGUUGUGUUCAUCUCACCUUAGCUCCUUGCCAAUUUCAGUCAACCAAGAAAGAAAAAGAAGUCCUUGUUUUUUUUGUGUAUACUUGAUUGGUAUAUGUUUAGAAUAUUUUUGCAUGUAGUGCAUUGUGAGAUCAAAGAACUCAGAUUGUACAACAUGGUUCUAGGAGUUUGGGACUAGAUGAACUUUGGCAGUUGCUGCUGGUGUUAUAUCAUGAUGAAAAUUCAAUCGAUCAACAAUUGAAUUUGACUAUUUGAACUUGCUAGCUGCUGUCGUACAAGAGGUGAAGGCUAGACAUACUAUUUACUGCUUGUGAUGCACUAUGUGUUCACAGAUUUUACGUAGCUGUACUACGUGUUCACAAAUUUACUGUCAUUCUGUGACGUUGGAUGUCAAGUUUACCAUUGUUAGGAAAUGGUUUAGAAUUUGGUGUAUAAAUUUCGCACAUGAAACUUACUACUCUAUUGCUUCUACAUGCAGGUUCGAUGGAUAAUGGAAAAGUCACCUAUCUGAAAAUGUGGAGCCUUGUUAUUUGCUAUUUUUUUUCUUUUAUGUCCAUGUAAUAAUUCGAACAAGAUUUGUACGUGUGACUGUCCUAGUCUUCCUCUCUGCUGCUCCUCUCAAUGCUCUCCUACUGUAGAUCACUGCCGCUGCUCUUCUUCAAGUCCUACAUCAACUGCAAUUUCGAACUCAAGAUAAUUGUCUGACAAUUCUUUAUUUUGAAAAUUAAAAAAAUACUACGUUUUGGGAACUCAUCAUAAAAUUUGAGAAAAUUUCUACUCCCGCCAUCCCAUAAUAUAAGAACAUUUUUAAAG
RNAcentral lists this long non-coding RNA (2860 nucleotides) under Triticum aestivum (bread wheat). RNAcentral's name for it is "long non-coding RNA (TAES_LNC020356)". Lineage: Eukaryota; Viridiplantae; Streptophyta; Magnoliopsida; Poales; Poaceae. The record is from RNAcentral.